RNAcentral lists this ribosomal RNA (538 nucleotides) under uncultured bacterium. RNAcentral's name for it is "bacterial SSU rRNA". It matches the Rfam family "Bacterial small subunit ribosomal RNA", at positions 777 to 1314 of the family's 1533-position model. The record is from RNAcentral.
AAUAGAUACCCUGGUAGUCCAUGCCGUAAACGUUGGGCGCUAGAUGUGGGGACCAUUCCACGGUUUCCGUGUCGCAGCUAACGCAUUAAGCGCCCCGCCUGGGGAGUACGGCCGCAAGGCUAAAACUCAAAGGAAUUGACGGGGGCCCGCACAAGCGGCGGAGCAUGCGGAUUAAUUCGAUGCAACGCGAAGAACCUUACCAAGGCUUGACAUAUACGAGAACGCUCUAGAAAUAGAGAACUCUUUGGACACUCGUAUACAGGUGGUGCAUGGUUGUCGUCAGCUCGUGUCGUGAGAUGUUGGGUUAAGUCCCGCAACGAGCGCAACCCUCGUUCUAUGUUGCCAGCGGUUCGGCCGGGAACUCAUAGGAGACUGCCGGGGUCAACUCGGAGGAAGGUGGGGAUGACGUCAAAUCAUCAUGCCCCUUAUGUCUUGGGCUUCACGCAUGCUACAAUGGCCGGUACAAAGGGCUGCAAUACCGUAAGGUGGAGCGAAUCCCAAAAAGCCGGUCUCAGUUCGGAUUGAGGUCUGCAACUCG